GACGAACGCUGGCGGUGUGCUUAACACAUGCAAGUCGAACGGUAAGGCCCUUUCGGGGGUGCACGCGUGGCGGACGGGUGAGUAACACGUGAGUAACCUGCCCUCAUCUCUGGGAUAGCAAUCUUCAGCGAUUGCUAGUACUGACCAUGUGCUUGCACGGCAUGUUUGGGGUUGGAAAGAUUUUUUUGGUUGGGGGUGGACUCCCGGCCUAUCAGCUUGUUGGUGGGGGGGUUGCUGACCAAGGAGUCGACGGGGAGCCGGCCUGGGAGGGCGACCGGCCACCUUGGGACUGAGAUACGGCCCAAACUCCUACGGGAGGCAGCAGUGGGGAAUAUUGCACAAUGGACGGAAGGCUGAUGCAGCAACGCCGCGUGCGGGAUGACGGCCUUCGGGUUGUAAACCGCUUUCAAUUGUGACGAAGCUUUUUGUGACGGUAGCAGUAGAAGAAGCACCGGCUAACUACGUG
This 466-nucleotide ribosomal RNA is filed under the name uncultured bacterium. RNAcentral's name for it is "partial 16S ribosomal RNA". It matches the Rfam family "Bacterial small subunit ribosomal RNA", at positions 28 to 507 of the family's 1533-position model. The record is from RNAcentral.